UGAGGAUUCAUGACAGAAAUUCCCUGGAUGC
Molecule: non-coding RNA, 31 nt
Filed under: Homo sapiens (human)
Lineage: Eukaryota; Metazoa; Chordata; Mammalia; Primates; Hominidae
Source: RNAcentral